This 503-nucleotide long non-coding RNA is filed under the name Sus scrofa (pig). Its description in RNAcentral is "lncRNA (ENSSSCG00055017114.1)". Lineage: Eukaryota; Metazoa; Chordata; Mammalia; Artiodactyla; Suidae. The record is from RNAcentral.
GAAGUCACUAAUUCUACAAAAGCUUGUCUGAAAGAUGAAAGCACUCGAGAACACCUCUGCCUACUACACCUACCUCCUCCUCCUCCUCAAGAGUACCCUCUACUUCGCCACCGUCCUCUCCUGUCUGUUUAGGAGAACAGUCUGCAGCAGUGGGAAGACCUCCUGACAGAUGAUGCCACCAAGGGCUCAACUUCGCUUCAGCAUCAUUGUCUCUACAAGUGUCUGCUGAGGAUCUAGCAGCACUUCCUUUCUGGGUUUGGCUUCCUUCAGAGAAUGUGUACAUCUUUGUAUUAGGUCAACAUUGUGUAGGUUUUUUCAAACCACUGGGCAAACAGACCCUUGCACUGCAUAACAAGGAAUUCUGCCAUGACUCGGGGCAGGGCUGAGGGCUGGUCCCCGGGAGCCUUUCCCACCACUGUCCCUCAGUGUCAUCAGCUCCUCCAGCUGCCUGAGUCCUCUUGCCUCGUGAGCACACACAGCACAGCACACAGCUCCCCGUCUCC